GACGAACGCUGGCGGCGUGCUUAACACAUGCAAGUCGAACGGUAAACCUCUUCGAGGGUGCUCUGUGGGGUACGGGUGAGUGACAGGUGGACAACCUGACCCCGGCCUUGUGUUUAGUCCAAGAUAAUGUAGCUAAUACUACGUGUUCACCGCAUCCCGCCUGGGUGGGGGUGCAAAGGGUUUGCGGCUGGGGAUGGGCUCGCGGCGCAUCUGCUUGUUUGGGGGGUAGUGGGAUACCAAGGCGACGACGGGUAGGCGGCAUGAGAGGGUGACCAGGCACAAUGGGACUGAGACACGGCCCAGACUCCUACGGGAGGCAGCAGGGGGGAAUAUUGCGCAAUGGGCGGAAGUCUGACGCAGAGACGCCGGGGGGGGGAAGACGGCCUUCGGGUUGUAAACCGCUUUCGGCAGGGACGAAGCGGAAGUGACGGUACCUGCAGAAGAAGCACCGGCCAACUACGUG
Molecule: ribosomal RNA, 463 nt
Filed under: uncultured bacterium
Lineage: Bacteria
Description: partial 16S ribosomal RNA
Rfam family: Bacterial small subunit ribosomal RNA
Source: RNAcentral